Ooceraea biroi (clonal raider ant) is the source of this 3850-nucleotide RNA transcript. RefSeq lists it as uncharacterized. Lineage: Eukaryota; Metazoa; Arthropoda; Insecta; Hymenoptera; Formicidae. The record is from RefSeq and is a predicted model, not a curated record.
GAAAAGGGAACAUUGUCAUGGCAUAGUUAAUUUCGACUAAUAGUCGACCGCUCAACUGGUAGGUGUGCCAUGUUUAAAUAAAUGUCUAACCAGUCCCAAGAUAAACUUUCGUGCGAGUUGAUCUCGAACAGAGUGACUUGAUAUGCAUUUGCUUCAUGCGCAUCUGUGAUCAUGUAUAAAGAAGUAUGUGCUAUGUCUUUCUACUCUAUAAAAAAUUAAGUAACAAGCGCUUCUAGUUUAUGGUGUAAUUUACAUGUAAAUUACAAGUUUCAAGUAAAAUACAUUGAUUUUUAUAUUUAAUUUUCAACUUUCACACGUGCGUAUCGCGUUUAAAAGCUUUAGAUAUGACAAAAUGCCAUGAUAUAAUGUCUUUUAUUAGAUCACUCGUUCACAACAUAUGAUUCACAACGAUAUGAUCGCAUGACGACUAUUUUACACCUUCGAGGCCACCAGUGGAAUGCUGGGUUACUUCGUGAUGAUAAUACAGCUCACUGAUUAUCGUGGACCUCGAAGCCUCCUCAGGGUCGCUUAAGUUACGUUGUAACGAUGCCCAGGCGGCGAACCGGUUGCGGCUCCGGAUCCUCAGGUCCUGCCACUGCACUUAUUUGGCCCCGGGAUCGCCCUCCAUCACUAACCCGAUCCCAAUGCAGACGAAAACAAGAAGAAAAGGGCACGAAGGAACCCGCAAAAAUUAACCACGCGCUCGCUCGCACCUGGUCCAAGGAUAAAAACACAUAGUCGGUCCGGUUCGGAAUUCAAAUAUUCCUCACCGCAAAAGAGAAACUCCGACCAGCUGCAAGCUUUUAUGCACACUGCUUUCGUCGUGAUAAUCUUUCUAUGGAAAGAGAAAGAGUGAGUGAAAAAGUGAACAAUAAUAAUACGUGAUGCGAACGCUACAAAUAAAUGCUAUGCAUAAAUUUCGUUUGUUUGACGAGCUGGUUAACAGUCGCUGUACAGCUCUUAUUGCAUGCGAGAAUCAAGUUGACAUCAAUGACAGAAUGCAAUGCAGUAAAUAUAUUAUCAUUCACAGCUUUUUCCUCUCGAUAACGUGUCAAUUGUGAACACUUCCGGGACACAAUGCGCUAGAUAGUCGCACUUCGUUUUCAGAGAGAUACAAUCGCGAUGCGCCAGCAGGCUAGAUUUAUAAAUCUAACGAUAAAUCUAUCACAGCGGGGCAAAAGCUGACCACUAUCGCGGCCAUGGUUACUUGCCAGAAGCGCCCUGCAAACCUUAUAUUAUACAUACAGUCGCGUGCAAGGUUCUCUUUCCCUUUCCUCUCGUUAGAGACACUGCCGGCCGCCACACGGCAUUUUAUUUUUUCUCUUUUUCAAAUAAAUAAAUGAACCGUAAGAAAUACGAUUUAUUCCCGCAUCGUUAUUUUUAUUUUUUCUCCAUUUUGUCACUUGGUCAUUACUCGCAGUUAGAAAGCGAAGCCCUUCGUGCGCAUCCUCAAGAGGCCGGAUACUCUUUUUCCUCCUCUAAAUAGGGAAAUCUAUAACUUCCCCGCAAGAGAUCCUCGCCUUUUCAUAUUUACCCCCAUACUUUAUUAUACAAAUGGUUGAACCCUUCAGCGGUCUAUCAUUAAUACGAGAAAGUUAAAAAGAAUUCUCAAGAAAUUCGCAACGAAUUAAAUAAAUUUCAAGACAAAUAUUCUUUGUUGUAAUUAACCAAACUCUUGAUUCAUAUUUAUAUUUUGAUAAAGCAGUUAUUAAUUUUUUCAUUACGAUAAAUAUGAGAUAGGUUCCAACUAUAAACAAUUCGAUGUGGAAACCGUUAAAGCAAAUUCCCAAUACUUAAUUGUUGGACCUCGUUAAAGAUCCACUUUAUCAAAUGAAAAGAUCGCGUGAACACGCAAGUUGCACGCUAUUAUCAUUUGCUCAGCGGUCCCCGCCUAUGGCAUUGCAGGGCGUCACAUAUUCCCAUAGGAAAGGUAGAUAGGUGGUAGUUCCACGGACUACCGUUUGCUCAUAGUCAGUAAUAUCCGUAUAGACCAUCGAAGCAACACGUGCCAUCCCGACUUAUCAUAAAGUUCUUUCAUACUCCAAUAUACAUCGCGGUUCGUCGAGGAGAAGAAAGCUUAUUACUACAAAUACUAAAAUACAAUUAAUAAAAGUGUAAAAAAGAGUGACAAACGCAAACAAUAACGCGAUGAUGAACGAAUACGACAUGAAAGGCAUUCACAAAUACAUGGACCAUUCGGUUAUCCCAACGGAUCCUAACACGACAAUGCAUCUUGCCAAAAUAAACGUCAUUACACCAAUCAUCUCCGAGCCCAUACGCAACAUCAUGGACUUCACGCUUCUGGUGACAGGCGUCAGCUUAAAUACAUUGCUCGGUCUUGUUAUCAUAUUAAAUCCCUACAUGCACACUUCCACCAACUGUUACGUAAUGAGUCUAGUAUUUUCGAAUGUGUUAAUUCUGGUUGAACCGCUUAAGCAAGUACUCGAUUGGAGUUUCGAUAUAAAUCUGAACAUGAAUUUUGACUACAUGUUCUUGGUGAGCUUUUCCACGUCCAUUCUGACAAUAAUUCUGCUGAAAAUCGAAGCGUACAUCGUUGUUUGUCACAAAAAUUCACGUCUUCAUAAGCAAUUGUUGAACAUUUCAACAGCUGUAAAAUGCAUCUUAUAUGUAUGGACAAUAUGCGUUAUGGUAACAGUCAUGGAAUUGCACUUGUACAUACACUUUGAAGAGGAGGUCAUGCAUCACAUUUACGAGACCUCUACCAUCAUGUUCCUAGUAUUUCCAUGUUUCAUUUUCGUAAUGCUCGAUUCCUUUAUUUUAUACGAUCUGAUAAUAUUGAAAUUAAUAGAUGGCACAUGGCCGAGCAAAGAUACCAAGCAUUUCAUUUUUCUGAUUGGCAUAACUAUUGGAUAUGUUUCAACUAUGAUACCAUACCGAGUCACGAGAGCUAUUGCUCUUGUAACAGAAUCUUGCUGCAGCGAUAUGGCGAUAGAGGUAGUUUAUACAAUGCUUAAAAUAUAUCCAUUGAUUCUGCCGAUAACGUGUUUUGUCAUAUCGAACGAAUUUUGUCAAGCGAUCAAGGUAACACUAGAAUAUUAUCAAAAUCCAAUAUUAUACUCUAUUAAGUAGAUUUAUUAACUUUUUUAUUUCAGAAAAUGCUAGUUUAUCGACGAGAGAUGAAAUUUUCGCCAUAAUAACCGAGUAAGAAAUCACAAAUAUCGAAACAAACAGUGAUACGUAUAAUAUACAGCACGUGCGACAAGUGCGAUCAGUCCGGAAGUGAUAAUGUACGUGCUUCAGGAAUUCAAUGAUUGCAGUGUUGCAUCGAUGUAAACAGACAUCGCUUCAAGCACCUCUUAUGAGGUCGUUUAAAUCGUCUACAAUAUCCGCUAAGGAUAAAAAAGCAUGCCAUUAAAAAAAAUGGUGAUCCUGAAAUCUUCGAAGUACCUCAGAGAAAAACAACAUGUUAUGACCUUCUUAAUACCGUAUACAGCUUUUGUAACUACAAUAUUUUCAUCGUGUAUAUUAAAAAAUAUCUAUGAUUCUAUCACCUUUGAGCAUCAUCUUAUCCACUUUAUAUAAUCUUGUAAGAAAUCGUCACACUUAUGUCGCGCUUUCAAAUAAUUUAUUAUUCCUAAGACUAACUUAAAAUUCAUGCGUAGCAAGCACAUCCGCUCUCAUGAGGGAAGUAAGAAGCAACGAGCAGAGAAUCUGCACAGAAAUUUUCGAAUUCACCGAGCUCUGUAUGCAAAUUAGCUUCCUCUUAAGCCUCUCCUCUCCGAGAGCAAAAGUUAAACUAGCAUUGUACUUGUGAGUCUCAUGUACGUUUAUGCAGAUUAAGAAAUAUGUAUUGUGUAUCUUGUAUUGUGCAAAUCAUAAUAAAUACCAC